RNAcentral lists this long non-coding RNA (2048 nucleotides) under Anthonomus grandis grandis. Its description in RNAcentral is "uncharacterized LOC126741945". The record is from RNAcentral. Lineage: Eukaryota; Metazoa; Arthropoda; Insecta; Coleoptera; Curculionidae.
CUCAAAUUUAAUUAUUGUUGAUUUUGGCGUUUGAUGAAGUUUGAUCGUUUCGUUGUUGGGUUAUCUUUGAGAUGAAUAUCUUAAAAUUUAGUGAGGAAAAUGGCUAUGAAUGUCUUGUACAAGCUGAAAAUCAAGAAAAGAAGGAAAUAAUUAUGCGUAUUAACUUAACCACUCCACAAGAUGCUGAUAAAUAUCUAUCAGCAUACAAAUUGUAUUCAGGGACAAACUGGAUUCGAAAUGGGGAGUUAAAAGAUCCGCAAAGAGUUGUGUAUCAUAAGUAUUAUGUGUGUCAACAUAGUUCAAUAAAUAAGAAAAGAAGUUGUACUAAGACUGAAAUGAAUACAGGAUGUGUUGCAACAAUAGAUGUUAAAAUUUAAAAAAAUACAACUAAAACAAAAAGAAAUUAUGAAUACCUAAAGUUAGAUAUUCCUUUAUGUGGUAUUAUAAAUUUUUAUUUAAAUCAUAACCAUAAUCUUGGCACAAGUUGUAGUUUGAAAUUUAUGAAGCUUUCUGAAGAGGUAGGCAGCAAAGUUUAAUAUAAUUAUGUAUAACCCAUAAUUAGUUUGAGAAUGGAAUGAGCCCUGCCGAAGCCAGAAGAUACCAUAAAAGUUUGUUAUUAUUGGAUGAAAAAGGUUGGAAAAAAAUGGCAGAUGCCUCUCUAAAUCCUACUAAAAAUGCACUUUAUUACCUUCAUAAAAAAUGAACUUUAAGGCAUUUUGGACAAGUAUUUGAGCCAAUACCAAAACUUCAAGAAAAAAAAAGUUUUAUCAUCAAUCAGCUAAUUAUUUCCACUAAAAAAAACAACACAAAUGAAUCUUUUGAGCCUAUAUGUUUGACGACUAUAUGGCCUAUAUGACAGACGACUCCAAACUGAAAAGACAGCUCUUAAAAAUACAUUUCCAAAUUCUACUCAGCUACUGUGUUUUUUCACGUGCUUCAAAAAGAAUGGCGAUGGCUUUGUGAAAACAAAAAUUAAAUUUCCAUGGAAAAGCGUUUGUAAGAUUAUGUAUUCUGAAAGUAAUGAAGAUCUAAAUGAACACAAGUUAAAGCUACAGCAAGAAGCGGAGUAUUGUCCAAAUUUUUGGGCAGGAUUUGAAAUUUAUUUUUCUAGAGGACAAGAGUGGUUGUAUCUUCACAGGAAACAUUUGGUCAUAAGAGGGAACAAUACAAACAAUUACGCAGAAGUAAUCAUCAGAAUACUUAAGGACAUUAUUCUUCAUCGUACAAAAGAUUACAAUUGUGUAGCAUUAGUUGAUUUCAUUGCUUUUGUCUGGGAGGAGUAUUUUAAAUGCAAGUUAUUAGAUUUGGAUGGAAGAAGAAACGAAAUAAAAAAUAAUUACUUAAAGCUAUUUUCAAAAGUAAAUGAUUUUAAACCGGAAGAUAUUUGUAACUUUGGGAGAUGGAUUGUAUCAAAUUAGUAGUAGUUCUAAUAUCUUUUUAAAAUACAUUAUUGACGUGCCAAUUGGUGUAUACAGUUGUCCUGCAGGCAUAAAUGGGUCAUUUUGUAAGCACCAAGCUUACCUACAUAAACAUUUAAAUAUUCCAUUUUUGAAUGCCCCUGCUAUUAAUUUUUAAGAAAGAGCAUCACUUGGGCGGCUAGCUUUUGGCGAGAAAUGCCCCGAAUCCAAAUGGUUUUUGGCCCUAAAUGAGCUUUCAGAAAACGCAGAUAAUAUACAAGAUUGUGGUUAUCAAGAAAACCAUCUGGAAACUAGAAUCGAUGCACCAUCUUCAUUAUUUGACGAGACAAUAAUAGAGAUUGAUGACACGUUGGAAGAUGACAACAAAAAGGAAGAUGUAAUUGAAGAAAUUAAAGAAGAAUGUAAAAAAUUUGAUAAAAUACUUAAGGAAAUACCUUUAAAAGCAUUAGAAAGACUUGCAAACAAACUAAAAAGAAUACAAACUGCGCCGCAGCUAUAUUCUUUCAUAGACAGUAAAGUUCUCGAAGACGGCCUGGAGCCACUCGUGGAAGUUCAAGAAUCCCUUGAGGAAGAUCACCUUGUGGCAAACGUAGUAGCCAAAGUGCUGUCAAAGGUAGUGGUAAAAGUAGU